Streptomyces sp. is the source of this 1824-nucleotide ribosomal RNA. It matches the Rfam family "Bacterial large subunit ribosomal RNA", at positions 1223 to 2925 of the family's 2925-position model. The record is from Rfam. NCBI's taxonomy places the organism in Bacteria, Bacillati, Actinomycetota, Actinomycetes, Kitasatosporales, Streptomycetaceae.
GAUGGGUAGGGGAGCGUCGUGUGCCGGGUGAAGCAGCCGCGGAAGCGAGUUGUGGACGGUUCACGAGUGAGAAUGCAGGCAUGAGUAGCGAUACACACGUGAGAAACGUGUGCGCCGAUUGACUAAGGGUUCCUGGGUCAAGCUGAUCUGCCCAGGGUAAGUCGGGACCUAAGGCGAGGCCGACAGGCGUAGUCGAUGGAUAACCGGUUGAUAUUCCGGUACCCGCUGUGAAGCGUCAAACAUCGAGCAUCGUGAUGCUAAGGCCGUGAAGCCGUUCCGGACCCUUCGGGGAAUGGAAAGUGGUGGAGCCGCCGGCCCAAGCGGUCAGUAGGUGAGUGAUGGGGUGACGCAGGAAGGUAGUCCAGCCCGGGCGGUGGUUGUCCCGGGGUAAGGGUGUAGCCCGUCAUCCAGGUAAAUCCGGAUGGCAUGUGGGUGAGACCUGAUGCCGAGCCGAUUGUGGUGAAGUGGAUGAUCCUAUGCUGUCGAGAAAAGCCUCUAGCGAGUUUCAUGGCGGCCCGUACCCUAAACCGACUCAGGUGGUCAGGUAGAGAAUACCGAGGCGUUCGGGUGAACUAUGGUUAAGGAACUCGGCAAAAUGCCCCCGUAACUUCGGGAGAAGGGGGGCCAUGUCCGGUGAUGGGGUUUUCCCUCUGAGCUGGGUGUGGCCGCAGAGACCAGCGAGAAGCGACUGUUUACUAAAAACACAGGUCCGUGCGAAGCCGUAAGGCGAUGUAUACGGACUGACGCCUGCCCGGUGCUGGAACGUUAAGGGGACCGGUUAGUCACUCUUCGGGGUGGCGAAGCUGAGAACUUAAGCGCCAGUAAACGGCGGUGGUAACUAUAACCAUCCUAAGGUAGCGAAAUUCCUUGUCGGGUAAGUUCCGACCUGCACGAAUGGCGUAACGACUUCUCGACUGUCUCAACCAUAGGCCCGGUGAAAUUGCACUACGAGUAAAGAUGCUCGUUUCGCGCAGCAGGACGGAAAGACCCCGGGACCUUUACUACAGUUUGAUAUUGGUGUUCGGUUCGGCUUGUGUAGGAUAGCUGGGAGACUGUGAAGCUGUCACGCCAGUGGUGGUGGAGUCGUCGUUGAAAUACCAGUCUGGUCGUGCUGGAUGUCUAACCUGGGUCCGUGAUCCGGAUCAGGGACAGUGUCUGAUGGGUAGUUUAACUGGGGCGGUUGCCUCCUAAAGAGUAACGGAGGCGCCCAAAGGUUCCCUCAGCCUGGUUGGUAAUCAGGUGUUGAGUGUAAGUGCACAAGGGAGCUUGACUGUGAGACCGACGGGUCGAGCAGGGACGAAAGUCGGGACUAGUGAUCCGGCGGUGGCUUGUGGAAGCGCCGUCGCUCAACGGAUAAAAGGUACCCCGGGGAUAACAGGCUGAUCUUCCCCAAGAGUCCAUAUCGACGGGAUGGUUUGGCACCUCGAUGUCGGCUCGUCGCAUCCUGGGGCUGGAGUCGGUCCCAAGGGUUGGGCUGUUCGCCCAUUAAAGCGGUACGCGAGCUGGGUUUAGAACGUCGUGAGACAGUUCGGUCCCUAUCCGCUGUGCGCGUAGGAGUCUUGAGAAGGGCUGUCCCUAGUACGAGAGGACCGGGACGGACGAACCUCUGGUGUGCCAGUUGUCCUGCCAAGGGCAUGGCUGGUUGGCUACGUUCGGGAGGGAUAACCGCUGAAAGCAUCUAAGCGGGAAGCCUGCUUCGAGAUGAGGACUCCCACCUCCAUGAGAGGGUAAGGCUCCCAGUAGACGACUGGGUUGAUAGGCCGGAUAUGGAAGCACGGUAACGUGUGGAGUUGACCGGUACUAAUAGGCCGAGGGCUUGUCCUC